Papaver somniferum (opium poppy) is the source of this 941-nucleotide long non-coding RNA. RefSeq lists it as uncharacterized. NCBI's taxonomy places the organism in Eukaryota, Viridiplantae, Streptophyta, Magnoliopsida, Ranunculales, Papaveraceae. The record is from RefSeq and is a predicted model, not a curated record. The transcript has 2 exons.
UCUCUUUUAUCUCCGGCUUUAGGCUCAUUCACAGAUGAAACUCUUCUCCUUCUUAAUUUCUUAUCUAGCUUUCUGCUACUGCAUCUCUAUUCUUUAGAAUCUCCAGUAUAUUUCUUUUUUACUUCUUUUUAAUGAAAUCCAUCACUUGAGCAUAUCAUGGUUUGCUUUAUCUAUUGUUGCAGAGAUAUAUAAUCAAGGUUUGAUUUUGAUGAAAGAAGAAGACAAACGGAGUGGUAGUGAGAAAGUAACAGAGACUAGAAAAUGUGAUGCACAGAGAGAUUGAAGAAGAAUUUCUUCGGAGAAUUUCUUCAAACAGUUAUUGAGCGUGAACCGGUGUUGGUGGAGAUGAGCUUCUAUUUCUUCUUCUAACCCUUGUUUAUCUCCUUUCCUGCAAUUAACCGCAUAUCAAGACAAUCACAUAUCGCUUACACCAUUCAACAUCAGAUUACAGUGACAAACCGCGUCCAUUUGUUUCCUCCACUUCAAAUGGAAGCAAUAUUUCUUUUAUCUAAUCACUACCAUUCACAGCCACCGUUGAUCCUUGUGUAACAACUCAAACAGACCCAUCCACAGAAGAACACAUACUUCCCUCUUCUUGCGAUCAUCACCUGUAACAAUGGCAGCAACCCCCUUUUCAUGUUUCACAUUGAACCCAUUUUGUUCGCUGUCUAAAACAGUACAAUACCUAUUUCGAAAUUCCUUGCAAACCCUAGUCUUUAAGAGCUCGUAAUCACCAUUAAUAACAACAAUCGGAAAAAUGAUAGCAAAAACAAUUCUUGUUGAUUAAAAUUGAUAGUACAGUUCGGAGAAGGAGAAGGAGAAGGUGAAAGGAUGAGGGUUAUAUUGAAUGGGUAUUUUGUAAAUAUUAGUAGAAUUAGGGGUAUAAUUGUAAUCUCGUUUAUUUAUUUAAUUUAAUAUAAUUUUUCGUUUUAUUUACUAAA